UUCAACAUGUUGGAUAGGCUGGUCUGGAACUCCUGACCUCAAGUGAUCUGCCCGCCUCAGCCUCCCAAAGUGCUGGGAUUACAGGCGUAAGCCACCACGCCUGGCUGCAAGCUUAAUAAAAUUGGAAAAUAUAAGUGACAGUCCAGAGUCCACUAUCAGAGCCAUAGAGACUUUGAAUUGGAUUAGUAGAGUCCUCAGCCAGGAUGACCCUGGCAGGGUCCAAGACAGCCUGCUGUCCAUCAGAGACGCGGAGACUCAGCUGCCAGUCUGCAGGGCAGCCCAUCCUGCCCCAGAAGCUCAGCUCAAGACCUGCCCAGACAAGAAAACUGUGGCAGGGGCCCAGCAGGAAGGUAAAAAUUACAUUUGUUUCUCAUCAGGGCAGACUGGGAUAUGGAUAACCAAACACACAGGAAAUCCCAAACCCUCAUGUUCAUAAAAGAAGGCAGAAAUCUUCAUGCCAAGUUAACUUUUACUGGAGGGAGCCCAUUGCCAUCCUGUAGACCAGGAGGAGGAUCCAGCCCCCAAGGAGCCUCACUCUCCUCAGCAAAGGCUCCUGCAGGCGGCUCACAGGUGCUCUGUUCCCAUGGGUCCUGCAUGGCCACAGGGCAGUGCUGCCCCUGAUGUGGUACGGAAUGAAAAGCCCCAGUACAGCGCACUGUGUGUGUCAGUGGAAGACGACUGAUGAAGGGCCUCUCCCGGGAAGAACUGUCCUUUUCUUUGACAUUAUGUCGUUACUCCUUUGUUGGGUAUUAACAUGUCCUUUUAAUGAAAUGACAAUGGUGGCAGAGCUGGCAUUUGACAGUUUCUUUUUUUAUGUUUUUGCUUGUCAAAAUAAAAAGCUGGUGGCCUUGUGA
Gorilla gorilla gorilla (western lowland gorilla) is the source of this 854-nucleotide long non-coding RNA. RefSeq lists it as uncharacterized. The record is from RefSeq and is a predicted model, not a curated record. The transcript has 2 exons. NCBI's taxonomy places the organism in Eukaryota, Metazoa, Chordata, Mammalia, Primates, Hominidae.